AACGCGAAGAACCUUACCAGGGACAUAAAGACAUGCUAGCGACAGGUGCGGAAACGUACCCUCCUUCGGGCGCUAGCACAGGUGCUGCAUGGCUGUCGUCAGCUCGUGUCGUGAGAUGUUGGGUUAAGUCCCGCAACGAGCGCAACCCUCGUGGUUAGUUGUACACUCUAGCCAGACUGCCCGUACAAGCGGGAGGAAGGUGGGGAUGACGUCAAGUCAGCAUGGCCCUUACGUCCUGGGCUACACACACGCUACAAUGGUCGGUACAAUGGGCAGCGACCCCGCGAGGGCAAGCGAAUCCUCAAAGCCGACCUCAGUUCAGAUUGCAAGGCUGCAACUCGCCUGCAAGAAGUCGGAGUUGCUAGUAAACGCGCGUCAGCAUAGUGCGUUGAAUACGUUCCGGGGUCUUGUACACACCG
Molecule: ribosomal RNA, 419 nt
Filed under: uncultured bacterium
Lineage: Bacteria
Description: bacterial SSU rRNA
Rfam family: Bacterial small subunit ribosomal RNA
Source: RNAcentral